This 495-nucleotide ribosomal RNA is filed under the name uncultured bacterium. RNAcentral describes it as "bacterial SSU rRNA". It matches the Rfam family "Bacterial small subunit ribosomal RNA", at positions 15 to 507 of the family's 1533-position model. The record is from RNAcentral.
GAUCAUGGCUCAGAUUGAACGCUGGCGGAAUGCUUUACACAUGCAAGUCGAACGGUAACAGGUCUUCGGAUGCUGACGAGUGGCGAACGGGUGAGUAAUAUAUCGGAACGUGCCCAGUCGUGGGGGAUAACGUAGCGAAAGUUACGCUAAUACCGCAUACGAUCUAUGGAUGAAAGCGGGGGAUCGCAAGACCUCGCGCGAUUGGAGCGGCCGAUGUCAGAUUAGCUAGUUGGUGGGGUAAAGGCCCACCAAGGCGACGAUCUGUAGCUGGUCUGAGAGGACGACCAGCCACACUGGGACUGAGACACGGCCCAGACUCCUACGGGAGGCAGCAGUGGGGAAUUUUGGACAAUGGGCGCAAGCCUGAUCCAGCAAUGCCGCGUGCAGGAAGAAGGCCUUCGGGUUGUAAACUGCUUUUGUACGGAACGAAAAGGCUCUGGUUAAUACCUGGGGCUCAUGACGGUACCGUAAGAAUAAGCACCGGCUAACUACGUG